This is an RNA transcript of Acinonyx jubatus (cheetah), 2296 nucleotides long. It is a transcript of the gene named glutamate rich 1, with no coding region annotated. The record is from RefSeq and is a predicted model, not a curated record. Lineage: Eukaryota; Metazoa; Chordata; Mammalia; Carnivora; Felidae. The transcript has 7 exons.
GCCUAUUGUUGUGGGUGGGCAUAGAGGUCGGAAUCCGGAAGCGUCGCAGCGCUACUUUGGCCCUGAAGCUGUUGGCGCCGGGAUAGAGCUGGGGGUCGCAGCAUCGCCAUGGCAGCGCUGAGACGGCACGUGUUCGUGGAGAAAGUUCUGAGGAGGCUUUUCCCUAGUGUUCCCUGUGGCCAAGAAAAGAGGGUACCCGUGGCUCCAGCUUCUGGAAACCCAGCCGAGAGGGUGGCCACUACAGACCUCAGGGGCAGGAGUGCCACCACCUUGACAGGUGGAGACUCCAAGGUCCCUCCUCGAAGGCGGCUCUACACGGCGAGUUUGCCUCCUGAGGGGUACGUCCCAGCCCCCCCAGAGCCGCAGGCCAGCCUGGCCUCCGAGGACAGCUCGGGCAGCGAUGACGCAGGAAAAGGAUGCCCCCUCUCAGAUCAGGAUUUUCACGAUCAACCAAAGAGAAGAAGAGCUAGAAAGCAUAAAUCAAAGAAAAAUUCUAAAGAUCCCAAUAAUAUUCAUGGAGAACAAGAAGAAUUAGAGAAACAGCAGAGUCUUUUGCAAGAAAAAUUGCAGCCCCAGUGCACAGAUGGCCCCAGCAUCAGCAGAAAUAAAAAAAGGAAACUGAAAAAGAAACAGCAAAUUAAAAGGAAAAAAGCAGCCGGCGUGAUCACCAAAGCUUCUGGCGUCAACUUCCUGUACCAGCCUGAGCAGAGCGACAGCGAACGCGACGUCGAGCAGCAAAGUGAUGGCGGGGACGGAGCAGACGCCCGCGGGGGGGAUGGCGCAGACGCCCGCGGGCACUGCAGUACAGACACCGGUGAGGAAAACCAUAAAGACAGCAAUGAGGAAGGUGUUAAAAGUAUCAAUGAAAAGGCGGCUGGUAUCCUGAACUUUCUAAAGUCAACACAAGAAAUUUAUUUUUAUGACGGUAUCUGCCAGGAUCCAGGCUCGGCCGUCCUCCUGGAAACCACUCAGGAGCUAUUUAAGCAUCUUGACGGUCACAGCCUGUCCCCCUCAGAUGUGCUCCUGCUGGAUCACAUGAAAAGCCUGUUACUUCUGCAAGAUACCCAAGGGCUGAAACGAGCCCUCGAAAUGUUCCCGGAACGCUGCACACUGCCGCCAGCGUGGUGAGUACUGACGGCGUCCACACAUGCACACAGCACAGCCCACCCUGUUCCUCACGAACUCUCAGGCCUACGUUCAGGAGCCACUGCCGUCUACACAUCUGCGCCAACUCCCCCAGACUCCUUGGAGAAGGACUGAUUCCAGGCCCCGAGCAGAGGUACCCGGGGGUCGGAGUUUCUUGUUCCAGGAAGCACGUAAGGGCUCAGACCUUGCAAAGGACUCACCAGAGUGACACAGAAGCCAAACUGGGAAUCAGGAGGCGGGUCGAAGGCUUUCUCAACAGUGGGCCAGUGGUUUCGGGGAGACGAGGGUCGGCUAACGGCACAGGCGUGCUUUCUGCCGGUUGCGAGAUGUGAAGUCGUGAUGUAACGGCCACUCGUUUAUGUCCACGAGGGUCCUCGGUGAGAUGCGCGUUGUUCCGCUUGGUCUUCUGCCGGAUCAGCCUGAACGGUUUCCCCGGUCCUCCUGCAGGUGCUCUGUGUCCAAACCUGGCAUGGGCUCAAGGUCAGGGCACGUGAGCCAGAGCCCUGGGCGCCCACGGGACUGGGCUUCCCUGCUACUGUGGAGCUCAGCCCUCAGGCGGUGGCCGCCCAUCCAGUGGCCUGUGCGUCACCGCUAGGGGCUGUCCGGAUGGGUGUGGCGGCAUCAUCAAAGCCCUUCUUAGCUGGAACAUGUGUGACCCAGAAGAGCUAGGGCAAUCCCCACCCCCGCGUGGUCAGCUGGGGAACAGACACCCCCCCGAGACCAGCAGCAAGUGGCCGGUGUGCCAGCGGGGCUGCUGGGGUGUUGUGCCUCCGGUUCCUCACCCAGGACCAGGUGACAGCGGCAGGACUAAGGGAGACAAGCGCCUUGUGUCCUCAGGAAGCCAGACCACACCUCCGGGAGCCCUCACGCGGCCAGCGAGUAGGAGGCAGAGGCCGGAUUAACUUCCUGCCCACGUUGCUGCCGGUAAGUAGCCUGAGGCACCGAGCUCUCCUUCCUCACUGUUUCUCUCCCAGGCAGGCGGCGUGGACGUUGUGACGGGGAGGCCCGGGGCCCCGUGUUUCCUGGCGGAGUGGCCCCUCGAGGAAGAGUGGGGUCACGGCAGUGGGGGGAUGGGGCUCAGGGACAGAGCCAACGGUGGGAAAUGUACCUACUGGGACCAGACAUCCUUGGAACAGAAAGCACUAUGCAA